AUGAUCCAUUUUCAAUAUCGGUCAAGGUACAUUUGGUAUAGUUCUUCUCUUUCUUCCACUCAUAUUUGCUCGAGUCUUGUGAUGAAUAGGCAAGGCAUUUCAUCUCCGGUCUUCCACAACAACGACGGCGCGAACAACUACAUCAUCAAAGCGUCCAUCUUUGAUCUACAACGACAAAUGCAAGGUGCACAAUCAAGAUUGCGAGAGCACAUUGACAACCUCGCCAUCAACAUGCGACACUUCGAUCUACGUACAAGAGACUACCUCGACAACAAGCUUUCCGCACAAAAGGAGGAGGAAGAUGGAAGGAUGGAGGAGAUUCGAACCUUGUUGAUCAACCAUUCUUCCGCUUCAUCAUCCUCAAGGCGAUGGCUAGAAAGUCGAUCAUCUUCAGAGCGCCCAUGCGAUGCAAGCUCAAAUCGUCCACGUCCACAUCUCCAUGGUAACCAUCAUCACAUUCAUGAUCCACAUCGUCAUGAAGGGAAAGUCACCUCCAAGCAACAUGUGCACGACGACGAUGAACGACAUCUACUACGAGCUCAAGUACGACAACGACACCAUCAACAUGAAGAUGCUCGAGAUGCGCCUACCUACAAGUCCCAACAAGCUCUACAUCAAGCUACGAUCAAACUUCAUGAGUACAAGAGAAGACCGCAAGACAAGCACCACCAAGAGGACGCUACGGCUACUACCACCACCACUUCGGCAUCUUCGCCAAGUGCUAUCAAGGCAUCUUUGCCUUUGGACGUACGACAUCUUUGCCUACUUCCCAUGAGUUUGCCUACAUUGACAUCUUCAACAACAAGGCGACCACCUCAAGCGAGGGUGACACUUCCAUCUUCGGAAGCCCCUCAAGGAAGAUGGCCGAGCAUGGGAAUUUCCCUUCGGUCAUGGAGACGAGCUACGAGGUGCCACAUCAUAUGGGCCUCCAACAACAAGACGACGACAAGACGGUUGAGCAAGGGCCAUCCCCUUCGACCAUGGCGGCGAGUAUGA
Molecule: ribosomal RNA, 996 nt
Filed under: Triticum aestivum (bread wheat)
Lineage: Eukaryota; Viridiplantae; Streptophyta; Magnoliopsida; Poales; Poaceae
Description: partial small subunit ribosomal RNA
Source: RNAcentral